GGAAGGAAGGAAGAAAGAGUCAAAAACAUGACUCCCGAGUCUAUAUGAACUAUGUGUUAGAAAAUUAAAACAUGUCUAAGAUCAAAGUUCAACCAUCAAAGAUCAAGUUAACAUGGAAAACAGCUACUUGGGAUUGGUACCCUUUUGCGGGGGGAAAAGCCACGCUUGAUUUCUGUCUUUGUCGCCGUCUCUUUUUACAUAGAUGAUUUGGGGUUCCGGGGAAAUAUGAAGUGAUCUAACCCAUUUUUUAAAAGCAGGGUGCCAACCAAAUGGCUGGAAAACGCAUACUUUGCUUCUCACCAGUCUCCCUCAAUCGUCUGAAAGAAAUCUGGCUGCAGUGCUGCUCAGUGUGUAGUGAAAGAAGAAACAGGACAGCCUUUUCCCAGUGAAAACAGGAUCCACAAAGGCUGUGAGAAACACAUCCGCUUUCCUCCCCGUUCACGCAUUUGGGGGAAGCUGCCAUUUUCAGUCACAAGGGCCGUGGAGGGGCAGAGUUAUGCUCACUGCUGCUGGAAACUGCGUCAUGUCCUCGCGUAUGUGGCAAGAGAAACAGACACGUCAGUUUUCGUCGUCAGCUUCUUAAAACAUUAUUUACCUGGCAGUGUUUUAACCAUGUAUUCCCUGUCACAUUUUAUAUUUGCUACCAAGCUUCUGUUUACAAGUUAAGAUACAUAUUGAAAAAUGACUCUCAAGAUGUUACAUCCAUGUUAAGAUGCGUUUGAAGUUUUUAAACAAGACUGGGUUUUGCAUAUACUAGCUAUGCGCAAAUGAAAUACAAUUUGCAAAGUAAAUUAAAGUUCAUAGAUACGAAA
This is a long non-coding RNA of Lynx canadensis (Canada lynx), 812 nucleotides long. RefSeq lists it as uncharacterized. The record is from RefSeq and is a predicted model, not a curated record. The transcript is spliced from 2 exons. NCBI's taxonomy places the organism in Eukaryota, Metazoa, Chordata, Mammalia, Carnivora, Felidae.